UGGUGUAUGAGUUUUUAUUCUUUAUUAUUGGUUUAUAAAAUCGCUAAGCAAGAAGAUGUUGAAGCAAUAACUAAUGUUGUUGCUCACAAUAUUCUCAUGCAUUAAGUUGAGGUCAUCGUGCCUCAAUUAGAUUUAAGUAGAGUUUAAGAAUGGGUUUAAACUUUUUGAAGAAAACUAGCCGAGUGUGGUUAGGGUUGUCGAAAAUAAAC
This 209-nucleotide long non-coding RNA is filed under the name Gossypium raimondii (Peruvian cotton). RNAcentral describes it as "long non-coding RNA (GRAI_LNC010142)". Lineage: Eukaryota; Viridiplantae; Streptophyta; Magnoliopsida; Malvales; Malvaceae. The record is from RNAcentral.